This 254-nucleotide ribosomal RNA is filed under the name uncultured bacterium. RNAcentral describes it as "partial 16S ribosomal RNA". It matches the Rfam family "Bacterial small subunit ribosomal RNA", at positions 524 to 776 of the family's 1533-position model. The record is from RNAcentral.
UACGUAGGGUGCGAGCGUUGUCCGGAAUUAUUGGGCGUAAAGAGCUCGUAGGCGGUGUGUCGCGUCGGCCGUGAAAACCUGGGGCUUAACUCUGGGCGUGCGGUCGAUACGGGCAUCACUAGAGUUCGGCAAGGGAGACUGGAAUUCCUGGUGUAGCGGUGAAAUGCGCAGAUAUCAGGAGGAACACCGGUGGCGAAGGCGGGUCUCUGGGCCGAUACUGACGCUGAGGAGCGAAAGCAUGGGUAGCGAACAGG